AAACCAGCACCUCAAGUGGUCAGGAUGAUUAUUGGGCCUAAAGCAUCCGUAGCCGGCUCUGUAAGUUUUCGGUUAAAUCUGUACGCUUAACGUACAGGCCGCCGGGAAUACUGCAGAGCUAGGGAGUGGGAGAGGUAGACGGUACUCGGGAGGAAGUGGUAAAAUGCUUUGAUCUCUCGAUGACCACCUGUGGCGAAGGCGGUCUACCAGAACACGUCCGACGGUGAGGGAUGAAAGCUGGGGGAGCAAACCGGAUUAGAAACCCCAGUAGUCC
RNAcentral lists this ribosomal RNA (274 nucleotides) under uncultured bacterium. RNAcentral describes it as "partial 16S ribosomal RNA". It matches the Rfam family "Archaeal small subunit ribosomal RNA", at positions 473 to 747 of the family's 1478-position model. The record is from RNAcentral.